CGGGGUGAAGGCGCUGCGCGAUUGGUUACGGCGUCUCCUUCUCAUUGGUCUCCGGGAGGAACGGCGCGUCCCGCCUCCCAAGUCUCAUAGGCGCCGCCGGCCGCUCGUCCAGAGCGUGAGUUCCUGAGUGGGUGAAGCAGUGGUCCCUGGAAACAGUUCCGGGAAACCCCGCGUGUUGCCGGGGUCGCGCCGCCGUCCAUGAGGAGAAGGAGGAGCGCGCGCCAUUUGCCGUCGCUGCUUGGGCCCGAGCUGCGCCGUGCAGGCCCCGCUCCGCUCCUGAAUUUUUUCCAGCAGCAUAAUAAAAUGGCUAAUCAGGUGAAUGGUAAUGCGGUACAGUUAAAAGAAGAGGAAGAACCAAUGGAUACUUCCAGUGUAACUCACACAGAACACUACAAGACACUGAUAGAGGCAGGCCUCCCACAGAAGGUGGCAGAGAGACUUGAUGAAAUAUUUCAGACAGGGUUGGUAGCUUAUGUCGAUCUUGAUGAAAGAGCAAUUGAUGCUCUUAGGGAAUUUAAUGAAGAAGGAGCCCUCUCUGUAUUACAGCAGUUUAAAGAAAGUGACCUGUCGCAUGUACAGAACAAAAGUGCAUUUUUAUGUGGAGUUAUGAAGACCUACAGGCAAAGAGAGAAACAAGGCAGCAAAGUACAGGAAUCAACGAAGGGACCAGAUGAAGCAAAGAUUAAGGCUUUGCUAGAGAGGACUGGCUACACUUUGGAUGUAACUACCGGACAGAGGAAGUAUGGGGGCCCUCCUCCAGAUACUGUAUAUUCUGGUGUUCAGCCUGGUAUUGGAACAGAGGUUUUUGUUGGUAAGAUUCCCCGAGACUUGUAUGAAGAUGAAUUGGUACCACUCUUUGAGAAAGCUGGUCCAAUUUGGGAUCUGCGCCUCAUGAUGGAUCCUCUUUCUGGUCAAAACAGAGGUUACGCUUUCAUUACCUUUUGUAGUAAAGAUGCAGCACAGGAAGCAGUCAAACUGUGUGACAACUAUGAAAUCCGUCCUGGGAAGCACCUUGGAGUAUGCAUCUCUGUGGCAAACAACAGGUUAUUUGUUGGGUCAAUUCCAAAGAACAAGACUAAGGAAAACAUAUUGGAAGAGUUCAGUAAAGUCACAGAGGGUUUGGUGGAUGUAAUCUUGUAUCAUCAACCUGAUGAUAAGAAGAAGAAUCGAGGUUUCUGCUUCUUGGAAUAUGAGGAUCACAAGUCAGCAGCACAAGCUCGCCGCCGCCUGAUGAGUGGGAAAGUAAAAGUCUGGGGAAAUGUUGUGACAGUGGAAUGGGCUGAUCCAGUAGAGGAACCUGACCCAGAAGUCAUGGCAAAGAGUGAGAUGAAGGUGAAGUUCAGUGUAGGGAAUGAUGUGCUCUUUAUCCCUGCGUUUUGGGAUAACUCUUUGCUACUCUUGAGGCCUAUUAUGAAAAUUUUACUGGGAUUUGUAGCAUCCCAGAAGCAGAAAAUCAAAGCUGGAUAUCCUUCUGGUCAUGGAAGGGAACUGUGGAAGGAGAGAAGUUGUAGAAACUUCAUACAGGUGAAAGUUUUAUUUGUAAGAAACUUGGCCACUACUGUGACAGAAGAAAUCCUUGAGAAAUCCUUUUCUGAAUUUGGAAAGCUGGAAAGAGUAAAGAAGUUGAAGGAUUAUGCUUUUGUUCAUUUUGAGGACAGAGGUGCAGCAGUGAAGGCUAUGAAUGAAAUGAAUGGGAAAGAGAUAGAAGGGGAAGAAAUUGAAAUAGUGUUAGCAAAGCCACCGGAUAAGAAAAGGAAAGAACGUCAGGCUGCCAGACAGGCUUCCAGAAGUACUGCGUAUGAAGACUAUUAUUACUACCCUCCACCUCGCAUGCCACCUCCUAUUAGAGGCAGAGGCCGUGGAGGGAGAGGUGGAUAUGGCUAUCCCCCAGAUUACUAUGGCUAUGAAGAUUAUUAUGAUGAUUAUUAUGGUUAUGACUAUCAUGACUACCGUGGUGGCUAUGAAGAUCCCUAUUAUGGCUAUGACGAUGGCUAUGCUAUAAGAGGAAGAGGAGGAGGAGGAAGGGGUGGGAGAGGUGCCCCUCCACCACCUAGGGGGCGGGGAGCACCACCACCAAGAGGUAGAGCUGGAUAUUCACAGAGGGGGGCACCCAUGGGACCGCCAAGAGGAGCCAGGGGUGGGAGAGGGGGUCCUGCACAGCAGCAGAGAGGACGCGGUGCUCGUGGAGCCAGGGGCAACCGUGGGGGCAACGUAGGAGGCAAGAGAAAGGCAGAUGGGUACAACCAGCCUGAUUCCAAGCGCCGUCAGACCAACAACCAGCAGAACUGGGGCUCCCAACCCAUCGCUCAACAGCCGCUCCAGCAAGGUGGUGACUAUGCCGGGAAGCGUGGUUGAGGCUGACCUGACAUGUCAUGAUGUCGACUUGCUAGGUGGGGUUCGCAAGGGACAUUAACCUUGGAGUUAUCGAUGAUGAAGGAAAGACACUGUGAUGGGCACUAAAGCAUGGACUUGCAGUGUGAACUCUGAUGGCAGGUACUUGUGUCUAGUCCUGGUGGUCUGACGUAUCUGGGGAAGGCUUAGGUGCCGUGUGUCUCUUGGCCGUGGUUUUCUCUGUUCUCAAUUUAUUAAUUUCAGCAUUGAUAGAAAUGUUUGUUUGUCUUUUAUAGCAUAUCCAAGAGCUGUGCUGCAACAGAGAAGUAAAUGUAAAACGUACCAUGGAUAAACUGUCUUCUAGAAGAACCUCGGCAUCUGCCUGUCAUGGCAAGUGAUCUGAGCAGUGACUUACCCGUGUUAGCAGUUUCAGGUGGGUGUGUUAUAUGUAUUUGCAGUCUUUUCUCUUGUUCUGUGCAGUGUACUAGAAACUGCACGUGCCUUGUAUAAUUUGUUUCCUACCCGGUCCUCUUGUAAUGUCCAGUUUUUCUAAUAAACACCUUUUGAAGUCAUUGCUUUGUGGUUGUUUUCCAAGGGUCUGAGUGUUCCCAUGUGUUGCUUGUCCUCAGUGACAUAUUCUCUUUGGAUCAUGCAGGGAAGAGGAGAAGAGAAACUCAAUCACUUCCUUUGGGUGGCAACUUUAUUAUAAGCUGCCAGGUCAAAAUGCAAGACCUUUUCUAAUAGUUUCUCUGUUUUGAGUAUUUUCUUGGAGUGUCCUGAUGCUUCAGAUCAGACAGAAAACCAAUUUAAGCAAACUUGAAGAAACUUCUCAUGAAGCAAAAUUAAUUCCGAAUGUUUGUUUGGAAAACAAUGAUGAAACAAAUUGGAAGUUGUGAUCUUGUGAUUUUAUUCCUGUGAAGUGCCAAGUCCUGCAGGAAACUUCAGCCAUAUGAGGUUGAGAGUUA
This is an RNA transcript of Haliaeetus leucocephalus (bald eagle), 3296 nucleotides long. It is a transcript of the gene named heterogeneous nuclear ribonucleoprotein R, with no coding region annotated. The transcript has 15 exons. Lineage: Eukaryota; Metazoa; Chordata; Aves; Accipitriformes; Accipitridae. The record is from RefSeq and is a predicted model, not a curated record.